RNAcentral lists this ribosomal RNA (393 nucleotides) under uncultured bacterium. RNAcentral describes it as "partial 16S ribosomal RNA". It matches the Rfam family "Bacterial small subunit ribosomal RNA", at positions 523 to 918 of the family's 1533-position model. The record is from RNAcentral.
AUACGGAGGAUACGAGCGUUAUCCGGAUUUAUUGGGUUUAAAGGGUGCGCAGGCGGUUCGGUAAGACAGGGGUGAAAAGUUGGGGCUAAACUCCAAUCGUGCCUUUGAUACUGCCGGACUAGAGUGCGGUAGGCGUGGCCGGAAUGUGAUGUGUAGCGGUGAAAUGCUUAGAUAUGUCACCGAACACCGAUCGAGAAGACAGGUCACGAGCUCGCAACUGACGCUCAGGCACGAAAGCGUGGGGAUCAAACAGGCUUAGAUGCCCUGGUAGUCCACGCUGUAAACGAUGAUCUCUCGUUGUUGGGGGGCGACCCUCAGCGGCCAAGCGAAAGCAAUAAGUGAUCCACCUGGGGAGUACGAUCGCAAGGUUGAAACUCAAAUGAAUUGACGGGG